Molecule: long non-coding RNA, 236 nt
Organism: Cydia amplana
Lineage: Eukaryota; Metazoa; Arthropoda; Insecta; Lepidoptera; Tortricidae
Exons: 2
Source: RefSeq, a predicted model, not a curated record
AAUGAUAAAACUAAAAAAAAUAUAUGAUGUACAUUACCAUGUAAACUUCCACCGAAAAUUGGUUUGAACGAGAUCUAGUAAGUAGUUUUUUUUUAUACAACUGAAACUCAAAAAAAAAAAUCAUCAAACCCAUACGUGUGGGGUAUCUAUGGAUAGGUCUUCAAAAAUGAUAUUGAGGUUUCUAAUAUAAUUUUUUUCUAAACUGAAUAGUCUUCGCGAGAGACACUUCCAAAGUG